This 253-nucleotide ribosomal RNA is filed under the name uncultured bacterium. RNAcentral's name for it is "partial 16S ribosomal RNA". It matches the Rfam family "Bacterial small subunit ribosomal RNA", at positions 524 to 776 of the family's 1533-position model. The record is from RNAcentral.
UACGGAGGAUGCAAGCGUUAUCCGGAAUGGUUGGGCGUAAAGCGUCCGCAGGUGGUUUUGAAAGUCUGCUGUUGAAGCGUCAGGCUUAACCUGAUAAAGGCAGUGGAAACUAUGAGACUAGAGUGCGUUAGGGGCAGAGGGAAUUCCCAGUGUAGCGGUGAAAUGCGUAGAGAUUGGGAAGAACACCGGUGGCGAAGGCGCUCUGCUAUGCCGCAACUGACACUGAGGGACGAAAGCCAGGGGAGCGAACGGG